GAUCAACGCUAAUCGGAUCAGGGUAAGUCGGGCCCUAAGGUUCAGCCUAAUGGCGAUACCGAUGGACGAAACGGUUAAUAUUCCGUUACUGUAAUAUAAAGUGACGUGGGGACGCAGGAGUGACACUGCUGCCAUCUGACGGAAUAGAUGGUUAAAGGAAGUAGACGUUGAUUUCGGUAGGCAAAUCCGCCGAGAGAGUCGAAACUGAAAGUACAGCAAUCCAAUGGAGCGCUGAUAAUGCAGGUAAUCAAACUGCCUAGAAAAACCGCUAAACAUUAAUUUAUAUUGCACCCGUACUAAAACGGACACACGUAGUUGGGUUGAGUAUACUAAGGCGCUCGAGUGAUUCACAGUUAAGGAAUUAGGCAAAAUGACCCUGUAACUUCGGGAGAAAGGGUGCCAGCGCAAGCUGGCCGCAGAGAAUCGGAGAAGGCAACUGUUUAACAAAAACACAAGGCUAUGCAAAUAAGAAAGAAGAAGUAUAUAGCCUGACACCUGCCCGGUGCUGGAAGGUUAAGAGGAGAUGUCAUCGCAAGAGAAGCAUUGAAUUGAAGCCCCAGUAAACGGCGGCCGUAACAAUAACGGUCCUAAGGUAGCGAAAUUCCUUGUCGGGUAAGUUCCGACCUGCACGAAUGGCGUAACGACUUCCCCGCUGUCUCCAGCAUAGACUCAGUGAAAUUGAAUUCCCCGUGAAGAUGCGGGGUUCCUGCGGUUAGACGGAAAGACCCCGUGCACCUUUACUAUAGCUUUACAUUGGCAUUCGUAGUGGCAUGUGUAGGAUAGGUGGUAGGCUUUGAAACCUGGGCGCCAGCUCAGGUGGAGCCACCCUUGAAAUACCACCCUUAUUACUAUGGAUGUCUAACCGCGGCCCGUUAUCCGGGUCCGGGACAAUGUAUGGUGGGUAGUUUGACUGGGGUGGUCGCCUCCAAAAGAGUAACGGAGGCUUCUAAAGGUGCGCUCAGAACGAUUGGUAACCGUUCGUAGAGUGUAAUGGUAUAAGCGCGCUUGACUGUGAGACCAACAAGUCGAGCAGGUAGGAAACUAGAGCAUAGUGAUCCGGUGUUUUCAGUAUGGAAUGGACAUCGCUCAAAGGAUAAAAGGUACUCCGGGGAUAACAGGCUGAUCAUUCCCAAGAGCUCAUAUCGACGGAAUGGUUUGGCACCUCGAUGUCGGCUCAUCACAUCCUGGGGCUGGAGAAGGUCCCAAGGGUUCGGCUGUUCGCCGAUUAAAGUGGUACGUGAGCUGGGUUUAGAACGUCGUGAGACAGUUUGGUCCCUAUCUGCCGUGGGUGUAGGAAGUUUGAGAGGAUCUGCCUUUAGUACGAGAGGACCGAGGUGGACGUACCUCUGGUGGACCAGUUGUCGCGCCAGCGGCAUAGCUGGGUAGCUAAGUACGGAAAGGAUAACCGCUGAAUGCAUCUAAGCAGGAAACCUACCUCAAAACUAGACUUCCCUAUCAGAGCCGUGGAAGACCACCACGUUGAUAGGCCAGGUGUGGAAGCACGGUAACGUGUGUAGCUAACUGGUACUAAUAGCUCGAUUGAUUUACUUUG
The sequence is a ribosomal RNA, 1552 nucleotides long. It matches the Rfam family "Bacterial large subunit ribosomal RNA", at positions 1357 to 2925 of the family's 2925-position model.